This 447-nucleotide ribosomal RNA is filed under the name uncultured bacterium. RNAcentral describes it as "partial 16S ribosomal RNA". It matches the Rfam family "Bacterial small subunit ribosomal RNA", at positions 29 to 523 of the family's 1533-position model. The record is from RNAcentral.
AGCGAACGCUGGCGGCAGGCUUAACACAUGCAAGUCGAACGGUCCUUCGGGAUAGUGGCGGACGGGUGAGUAACACGUGGGAACGUACCCUUAGGUUCGGAACAACACAGGGAAACUUGUGCUAAUACCGGAUAAGCCCUUCGGGGGAAAGAUUUAUCGCCUUUGGAGCGGCCCGCGUCUGAUUAGCUUGUUGGUGAGGUAAUGGCUCACCAAGGCUACGAUCAGUAGCUGGUCUGAGAGGAUGGCCAGCCACACUGGGACUGAGACACGGCCCAGACUCCUGCGGGGGGAAGCGGGGGGGAUUCUUGCGCAAGGGGCAAAAGCCUGACGCAGCCAUGCCGCGUGGAUGAUGAAGUUCUUAGGAUUGUAAAAUCCUUUCCCCGGGGACGAUAAUGACGGUACCCGGAGAAGAAGCCCCGGCUAACUUCGUGCCAGCAGCCGCCGUAA